AUUGAACGCUGGCGGCAGGCCUAACACAUGCAAGUCGAGCGGCGCGGCGGACGCGAGCGUAUUGCUUAGGCAUCUGCCAGGUAGCGGGCGAUAACGUCCGGAAAUGGGCGCCAAUACCGCCUCCUAUCAGAUGAGCCUUGGUCGGAUUAUGUAGUGGGUGGGGUAAAGGCAUACCAGGGCGACGAUCAUUAACUGGUCCGAGAGGAUUAUCAGUAAACCUUGAACUGUGAAACGGUCCAGACUCCAACGGGGGGAGACAUGGGGGAAUAUUGGACAUUGGGCGAAGGCCGGAUGCUGACAUGCGGCGUGUGUAAAGAGGGUCUUCGGAUUGUAAUGCACUUUAAGUUGGGAGACGGUACCAACAGAAUAAGCACCGGCUAACUUCGUGCCAGCCGCCGCGGUAAUAC
Molecule: ribosomal RNA, 407 nt
Filed under: uncultured bacterium
Lineage: Bacteria
Description: partial 16S ribosomal RNA
Rfam family: Bacterial small subunit ribosomal RNA
Source: RNAcentral